This 246-nucleotide unclassified non-coding RNA is filed under the name Glomus sp. RNAcentral's name for it is "partial contains 5.8S ribosomal RNA and internal transcribed spacer 2". The record is from RNAcentral. Lineage: Eukaryota; Fungi; Glomeromycota; Glomeromycetes; Glomerales; Glomeraceae.
GUGAAUCAUCAAAUUUUUGAACGCAAAUUGCACUCUCCCCGGAGAGUAUGCCUGUUUAGGGUCAGCCUAUAAAAAAUCGACAUCGUUGCUGGUUCGCGGUGGCGUUCGUCGGAAAUUGGGUCAACUUAAAUCCUUUUGGUUUAAGCGACUUAAAAUUUUCUUUUUGUUCCAUUAACGUUUCUUAGAUCUAUUUCUUUACACCUUUUAGGUAUCGAUUUUUACUUGACGUUACCCUCAUAUAGGAUC